Molecule: non-coding RNA, 855 nt
Organism: Chiloscyllium plagiosum (whitespotted bambooshark)
Lineage: Eukaryota; Metazoa; Chordata; Chondrichthyes; Orectolobiformes; Hemiscylliidae
Source: RefSeq, a predicted model, not a curated record
UCACCCGAGGCGGGAAUUGAACCCUGGCAUCAUGAGGCAGCAGUGCUAACCACUGAGCCGCCCUGUAAAUGCUGUGCAAGCCAAUGCCGAAAUCCCACAGACAAAUGGCUGACACCGCUUUUCCCACAGUAGGUCCUGCUUUUCCAUGGGGCCUUCCUGAUCCCGCUAGAGCCUAUCGACAUAUUCCAUCAUUUAGCAGGUGCUGGAGAGCAGGUGUAUGUGACCAGCAAAUUACAGCAUGCACUGAAGCAGAGGGAUCAGAGGCCCAUUGCGUUGGUUCCUGCCAAUCAACUGGACCAAGGAGGAUUUUAAUACCAUUUAUCCAACAUGAUUCUUUGGCACUUCCUGAACACCUACUCCCCGGUGGCCACUCAGCCCAACACCUGCUGGGGCUGGUUGGCUUGGAGAGGUGCCUGGCAUGCAGUGGAUGGGCCAAGUGGUUCAGUUGGAGGACAGCCCUGCUAAGGACAAGUCACCCAGUUGAUCUCUCUUAUUUUGGAAAAGGAAACUACCUUGUUGACGGGAUGAAACUUUCUUAUUCUUUUGAAAGAACAUUUCAAAGUUGCAUUCCUGAGCAAGCUGGGUCUCUAUGACAACCGUGUGUGAUUAGUGACUCGACCACACGUACCAGAACAUCAAAGCAACAGACUUGGGAAAUAUCUUAUGCUUUAGAUGCUUAGGAAUUGACCGACAGGUUUAGACAGUACAUUUGGAUCGGCUCAGGCUUGGAGGGCCGAAAGGCCUGUUCUUGGGCUGUAAAUUUUCUUUGUUCUUUGUUCUUUAUCCUGUUGCCUUUACAAAUAAAUCAUUGGUCAAAAUGUGCUUUCACUCAGAAAGUCCAUCGCUGCAGAGAAA